This 497-nucleotide ribosomal RNA is filed under the name uncultured bacterium. RNAcentral describes it as "partial 16S ribosomal RNA". It matches the Rfam family "Bacterial small subunit ribosomal RNA", at positions 28 to 507 of the family's 1533-position model. The record is from RNAcentral.
GAUGAAUGCUGGCGGCGUGCCUAAUACAUGCAAGUCGAGCGAACAGACGAGGAGCUUGCUCCUCUGACGUUAGCGGCGGACGGGUGAGUAACACGUGGAUAACCUACCUAUAAGACUGGGAUAACUUCGGGAAACCGGAGCUAAUACCGGAUAAUAUAUUGAACCGCAUGGUUCAAUAGUGAAAGACGGUUUUGCUGUCACUUAUAGAUGGAUCCACGCCGCAUUAGCUAGUUGGUAAGGUAACGGCUUACCAAGGCAACGAUGCGUAGCCGACCUGAGAGGGUGAUCGGCCACACUGGAACUGAGACACGGUCCAGACUCCUACGGGAGGCAGCAGUAGGGAAUCUUCCGCAAUGGGCGAAAGCCUGACGGAGCAACGCCGCGUGAGUGAUGAAGGUCUUCGGAUCGUAAAACUCUGUUAUUAGGGAAGAACAAAUGUGUAAGUAACUAUGCACGUCUUGACGGUACCUAAUCAGAAAGCCACGGCUAACUACGUG